GGAUGAGCCCGCGGCCUAUCAGCUUGUUGGUGGGGUAAUGGCCUACCAAGGCGACGACGGGUAGCCGGCCUGAGAGGGUGACCGGCCACACUGGGACUGAGACACGGCCCAGACUCCUACGGGAGGCAGCAGUGGGGAAUCUUGCGCAAUGGGCGAAAGCCUGACGCAGCAACGCCGCGUGGGGGAUGACGGCCUUCGGGUUGUAAACCUCUUUCGACACCGACGAAGCCAUCUUCGGGUGGUGACGGUAGGUGUAGAAGAAGCACCGGCUAACUACGUGCCAGCAGCCGCGGUAAUACGUAGGGUGCGAGCGUUGUCCGGAUUUAUUGGGCGUAAAGAGCUCGUAGGCGGUUUGUCGCGUCUAUCGUGAAAACCGGGAGCUUAACUCCUGGCUUGCGGUGGAUACGGGCAGACUUGAGUUCGGUAGGGGAGACUGGAAUUCCUGGUGUAGCGGUGAAAUGCGCAGAUAUCAGGAGGAACACCGGUGGCGAAGGCGGGUCUCUGGGCCGAUACUGACGCUGAGGAGCGAAAGCGUGGGGAGCGAACAGGAUUAGAUACCCUGGUAGUCCACGCCGUAAACGUUGGGCGCUAGGUGUGGGGAUGGGUUCCACUGUUUCCGUGCCGUAGCUAACGCAUUAAGCGCCCCGCCUGGGGAGUACGGCCGCAAGGCUAAAACUCAAAGGAAUUGACGGGGGCCC
Molecule: ribosomal RNA, 698 nt
Filed under: uncultured actinomycete
Lineage: Bacteria; Bacillati; Actinomycetota; Actinomycetes; Actinomycetales
Description: bacterial SSU rRNA
Rfam family: Bacterial small subunit ribosomal RNA
Source: RNAcentral